GGCCCCAUCGUCUAGAGGCCCAGGACAUCAGAUUUUCAGUCUGAGUACCGGGGUUCGAAUCCCCGUGGGGUCA
Molecule: transfer RNA, 73 nt
Filed under: Planctomyces sp.
Lineage: Bacteria; Pseudomonadati; Planctomycetota; Planctomycetia; Planctomycetales; Planctomycetaceae
Also listed under: 1 other name
Description: tRNA-Glu
Rfam family: tRNA
About the family: Transfer RNA (tRNA) molecules are approximately 80 nucleotides in length. Their secondary structure includes four short double-helical elements and three loops (D, anti-codon, and T loops).
Source: RNAcentral